This 498-nucleotide ribosomal RNA is filed under the name uncultured bacterium. RNAcentral's name for it is "partial 16S ribosomal RNA". It matches the Rfam family "Bacterial small subunit ribosomal RNA", at positions 28 to 507 of the family's 1533-position model. The record is from RNAcentral.
GAUGAACGCUAGCUACAGGCUUAACACAUGCAAGUCGAGGGGCAGCAUGUCGGUUGCUUGCAACCGACGAUGGCGACCGGCGCACGGGUGAGUAACGCGUAUCCAACCUACCCUUGUCCAUCGGAUAACCCGUCGAAAGGCGGCCUAACACGAUAUGCGGUUCUCAGCAGGCAUCUAACGAGAACGAAAUGUGAAGGAGAAGGAUGGGGAUGCGUCUGAUUAGCUUGGGGGGGGGGGUUCGGGGGUAACGGCCCACCAAGGCGACGAUCAGUAGGGGUUCUGAGAGGAAGGUCCCCCCANAUUGGAACUGAGACACGGUCCAAACUCCUACGGGAGGCAGCAGUGAGGAAUAUUGGUCAAUGGACGGGAGUCUGAACCAGCCAAGUAGCGUGCAGGACGACGGCCCUAUGGGUUGUAAACUGCUUUUAUAAGGGAAUAAAGUGAGUCUCGUGAGACUUUUUGCAUGUACCUUAUGAAUAAGGACCGGCUAAUUCCGUG